GACGAACGCUGGCGGCGUGCUUAACACAUGCAAGUCGAACGGAAAGGCCCUGCUUUUGUGGGGUGCUCGAGUGGCGAACGGGUGAGUAACACGUGAGUAACCUGCCCUUGACUUUGGGAUAACUUCAGGAAACUGGGGCUAAUACCGGAUAGGAGCUCCUGCUGCAUGGUGGGGGUUGGAAAGUUUCGGCGGUUGGGGAUGGACUCGCGGCUUAUCAGCUUGUUGGUGGGGUAGUGGCUUACCAAGGCUUUGACGGGUAGCCGGCCUGAGAGGGUGAACGGGCACAAUGGGACUGAGAUACGGCCCAGACUCCUACGGGAGGCAGCAGUGGGGAAUAUUGCACAAUGGGCGGAAGCCUGAUGCAGCAACGCCGCGUGCGGGAUGACGGCCUUCGGGUUGUAAACCGCUUUCGCCUGUGACGAAGCGUGAGUGACGGUAAUGGGUAAAGAAGCACCGGCUAACUACGUG
RNAcentral lists this ribosomal RNA (468 nucleotides) under uncultured bacterium. Its description in RNAcentral is "partial 16S ribosomal RNA". It matches the Rfam family "Bacterial small subunit ribosomal RNA", at positions 28 to 507 of the family's 1533-position model. The record is from RNAcentral.